UACGUAGGGGCCAAGCGUUGUCCGGAUUUAUUGGGCGUAAAGAGCUCGUAGGCGGUUCGGCAAGUCAGCUGUGAAAUCUCCACGCUCAACGUGGAGGGGUCAGCUGAUACUGCUGUGACUUGAGUCCGGUAGGGGAGUGUGGAAUUCCCGGUGUAGCGGUGAAAUGCGCAGAUAUCGGGAGGAACACCAGUAGCGAAGGCGGCACUCUGGGCCGGUACUGACGCUGAGGUGCGAAAGCGUGGGGAGCAAACAGG
Molecule: ribosomal RNA, 254 nt
Filed under: uncultured bacterium
Lineage: Bacteria
Description: partial 16S ribosomal RNA
Rfam family: Bacterial small subunit ribosomal RNA
Source: RNAcentral